CGCGUCUGUCCCGCGGAAUGCGAGGAGCGCGGGGGACGGGGGGCGCUUAAUCGUGGAAGGAAGCGAGGCGGGAGAGGCGCUGAGCCGCAGUCACCGCCAUCUCACCGGUGCCUGAGUGUUUCGAUACGUGUCAGUUCAGUGAGUGGGAAAACGCCGGUCUUGGUCAGCGUCUUCAUCAAUGACCUGGAAUAAGGGGUCUGUGACCACAGCCUUCCCAAGCACAGGCUGCUAAAGAGCUCUCACUUGGACGAGGUGUUUGGGCACGUGCUCUGAGAAAUCUCUCUUUGGGACAACCGCAGAAGAGAAAUGGCAAAGGCUUCAGAAAUAACGACCAGGGACUGGCGCUGGCCCCGUGUGGUGCCUCCACAGGGAAAAUUAGUGGCAAGCCAGCAUCUCGGCCAGCACUCGCCAGCCUUCUCUUUACAUGCCUGUACCCUUCAUCCAGACAGACAUCCUGAAAGCGUCUUCAGGAUAUCUUUUCAGUGGAGCUCUGUGAAUUCAGACUGCUCUUCCAAGCAGGCUUUCAGAGCGCAUCUCCACCUCCAGAAAAAGCCACCUUGAAUCUCUUGACUCUUCCUUUGUCAGAUCACUUUGGAUUUCCCAGUUCACAGAAG
Molecule: long non-coding RNA, 614 nt
Organism: Gallus gallus (chicken)
Lineage: Eukaryota; Metazoa; Chordata; Aves; Galliformes; Phasianidae
Source: Ensembl